ACGCUCGACACCUACGGGAGGCAGCAGUGGGGAAUAUUGCACAAUGGGGGAAACCCUGAUGCAGCGACGCCGCGUGGAGGAAGAAGGUCUUCGGAUUGUAAACUCCUGUUGUUGGGGAAAAAGAGGACGGUACCCAACAAGGAAGUGACGGCUAACUACGUGCCUGCAGCCGCGGUAAUCNGAGCGGGCUGGCAAGGC
Molecule: ribosomal RNA, 198 nt
Filed under: uncultured bacterium
Lineage: Bacteria
Description: partial 16S ribosomal RNA
Rfam family: Bacterial small subunit ribosomal RNA
Source: RNAcentral